AUGGCUCAGGAUGAACGCUAGCUACAGGCUUAACACAUGCAAGGUCGAGGGGCAGCAUUGGAGUAGCAAUACUCAGAUGGCGACCGGCGCACGGGUGAGUAACACGUAUCCAACCUGCCGCUUACUCGGGGAUAGCCUUUCGAAAGAAAGAUUAAUACCCGAUGGUAUAAAGAGUUCGCAUGUUCUCUUUAUUAAAGAAUUUCGGUAAGCGAUGGGGAUGCGUUCCAUUAGAUUGUUGGCGGGGUAACGGCCCACCAAGUCUACGAUGGAUAGGGGUUCUGAGAGGAAGGUCCCCCACAUUGGAACUGAGACACGGUCCAAACUCCUACGGGAGGCAGCAGUGAGGAAUAUUGGUCAAUGGACGAGAGUCUGAACCAGCCAAAGUAGCGUGAAGGAUGACUGCCCUAUGGGUUGUAAACUUCUUUUAUAAGGGAAUAAAGUGAGGGACGUGUCCCUUUUUGUAUGUACCUUAUGAAUAAGGAUCGGCUAACUCCGUGCCAGCCGCCGC
Molecule: ribosomal RNA, 508 nt
Filed under: uncultured bacterium
Lineage: Bacteria
Description: bacterial SSU rRNA
Rfam family: Bacterial small subunit ribosomal RNA
Source: RNAcentral